UUCAAUAAAUCCUCAAAUAAAUCAUGAUCAAACAUCAUCCAUAACAUGAUAAGCAUACCAAUUUCAGCUCAUUUGGAUCAAAGGAAGUAGGUCAAUGAAAAUCAGAAAGUCAAAGCAAGUUCAAGCAAACUCAUACAAAACAUCAAAACAUGCACCAACUUCAAUUAAUCAUAAAACAGAAACAACAUAUGAUAAAUGAAUGGGACUAAAACCAUGACAAACUUUAAGAUGUCUAUAAUU
Molecule: long non-coding RNA, 240 nt
Filed under: Lathyrus oleraceus (garden pea)
Lineage: Eukaryota; Viridiplantae; Streptophyta; Magnoliopsida; Fabales; Fabaceae
Description: Pisum sativum (pea) long non-coding RNA (PSAT_LNC007337)
Source: RNAcentral